CCUAGGUGGCUGCAGUGGGGAAUAUUGGACAAUGGGCGAAAGCCUGAUCCAGCCAUGCCGCGUGUGUGAAGAAGGCCUUCGGGUUGUAAAGCACUUUCAGUGGGGAAGAAAGCCUUGGGGCUAAUACCCUCGAGGAAGGACAUCACCCACAGAAGAAGCACCGGCUAACUCCGUGCCAGCAGCCGCGGUAAUACGGAGGGUGCGAGCGUUAAUCGGAAUUACUGGGCGUAAAGCGCGCGUAGGCGGUCUGAUAAGCCGGUUGUGAAAGCCCCGGGCUCAACCUGGGAACGGCAUCCGGAACUGUCAGGCUAGAGUGCAGGAGAGGAAGGUAGAAUUCCCGGUGUAGCGGUGAAAUGCGUAGAGAUCGGGAGGAAUACCAGUGGCGAAGGCGGCCUUCUGGACUGACACUGACGCUGAGGUGCGAAAGCGUGGGUAGCAAACAGGAUUAGAUACCCCGGUAGUC
RNAcentral lists this ribosomal RNA (463 nucleotides) under Vreelandella stevensii. RNAcentral describes it as "partial 16S ribosomal RNA". It matches the Rfam family "Bacterial small subunit ribosomal RNA", at positions 338 to 795 of the family's 1533-position model. The record is from RNAcentral. Lineage: Bacteria; Pseudomonadati; Pseudomonadota; Gammaproteobacteria; Oceanospirillales; Halomonadaceae.